RNAcentral lists this microRNA precursor (68 nucleotides) under Vicugna pacos (alpaca). Its description in RNAcentral is "miRNA (ENSVPAG00000016253.1)". Lineage: Eukaryota; Metazoa; Chordata; Mammalia; Artiodactyla; Camelidae. The record is from RNAcentral.
AGAUGUAUGUGUGUUUGUAUGUGUGCAUGUGCAUGUGUGUAUGCAUGUAUGUGUGUGUGUAUUCAUAC